AGAUGGGCUAUAAAUCAAAUACAAACGAUGAAAAUAGGUCAUAGCAUCAUAAUGUAUCAUCCUGCCUGAAAUCUGACACUUUUACCAUUGAGUUAUGCUUUAGUUGAAAGUAAAGAAUAUACAGAGGAGCCUGCAACAAAAGUAAAGUUCCGAACGUCAUUAAGCAUUCUAGGCUGCUCCACCUCAAUGUCAUUAACUGGAACUGGAUACAGGGAGAGAGUUUUUGCAAUCAUUGGUGUCAAGGUGUAUGCUGCUGGGCUAUAUGUGAAUCAGUCAAUUUCACUAGGAUAAAACUGUUUGCAUUUAUCAAAUCUGAUUGAACAAGGAAAGAGAGGAGAGGGAAAAGUAAAUUAAGAAGCUAAUAUUGAUUGGAAACUGCAGCUCCUUUGGAAAAAUCUCUGCAAAUUGUUCUGGUGAGAGACGUGGAUGGUAAAACGUUUUGGGAUGCCUUAGAUGAAGCCAUCUCUCCAAGAAUUAAAUCGCCUACUCCAGUUGAUACCUCUCUCUUUCUACAUUUAGUACUCUGUUUCAAGGAAGGCCUCUUAAUAAGGGUACCAUUAUCUUCUUGACUUGGCCGGACUCUACCAAAAUGCUUGUUUCUGUAUCGAGUGAUGGGUUGCCUUCUGGUGUUGAUGCAACUACUGAGUCAACAAAUGUGAUAUCAGCUCUUUUUGAUGUAUUUCUGGGAAGUGAUUCAGUUUCUCCUACUCUUAAGGCUUCAGUGACCAGUGGAUUGACAGCAUUGCUGAAUGGCUGAAGUAAAGAAAACAAGGGAGAUUUUCUGCUCAGUUGUUUUAAUUCCUGACACUCAAUGUUCAUCAUAGCUUUCUACAUUAAUGAACUGCUCUAAAUCUUGUUUUGUACACUAUGAACACUUUGGAAAGAGCAUUGCUCCACUAAUCUAAUAACCAGAAGUAAGAACCCUCCACUAAAACCUCCCCUGACGUU
This is a non-coding RNA of Coffea arabica (coffee), 948 nucleotides long. The record is from RefSeq and is a predicted model, not a curated record. NCBI's taxonomy places the organism in Eukaryota, Viridiplantae, Streptophyta, Magnoliopsida, Gentianales, Rubiaceae.